Molecule: non-coding RNA, 180 nt
Organism: Meleagris gallopavo (turkey)
Lineage: Eukaryota; Metazoa; Chordata; Aves; Galliformes; Phasianidae
Source: RefSeq, a predicted model, not a curated record
CAGACCCCGACCAAACGUUUAAAUUAACAUCUUUACAGAACUUCAGCAGCUGUCUGCCUAACACUUGCACAACGUUGGUGUCUAAUCACAACAUAUCCCACAGACAGCCUGAGACUGUCCUGAUGGAAACGCCGCAAGACACAAUUGAGUUGAACAGGAUCAACCUAGAAUCCUCCAAUG